RNAcentral lists this non-coding RNA (46 nucleotides) under Schistosoma margrebowiei. Lineage: Eukaryota; Metazoa; Platyhelminthes; Trematoda; Strigeidida; Schistosomatidae. The record is from RNAcentral.
GUAUGGCUGAGGAGUCCCACAAUAGGACGAAAUGGCCGUCCAUUGC